GGGCACUUUUGUUGGAAACAGUGGGC
RNAcentral lists this non-coding RNA (26 nucleotides) under Homo sapiens (human). The record is from RNAcentral. Lineage: Eukaryota; Metazoa; Chordata; Mammalia; Primates; Hominidae.